RNAcentral lists this long non-coding RNA (3207 nucleotides) under Triticum aestivum (bread wheat). RNAcentral's name for it is "long non-coding RNA (TAES_LNC003797)". Lineage: Eukaryota; Viridiplantae; Streptophyta; Magnoliopsida; Poales; Poaceae. The record is from RNAcentral.
CCCAAGUCCUUGGCUAGGGUUUCGGCCAUGGUGUUGCCUCCAUCGCCGGUGCGUCUCCGACGACUCCGCUGUGUUCUAGACCGCGCGCCAUCGUGCUCUCCCCGCCUCCUGGAUGGCAACCCCUAGCUGGGUUUGCUCACGCGCGUCAGGCUGCACGGCUGCGACCCCGACCUCCUGUGCCGCGGUGCAUCCUAUGGCAACCUCCUCUGCAGCAUUUGGACCACUGCAGGCCCUCCCUUGCCCAGGUGAGCACCUCAAACCCCAUCUUCCUCUCCUCCUACCAUCUUCUUUUUUGUUAUGAUGUGCUUUGACUGACUCAACGUCUUCAUCUAUAUAUAUCUGAACAGGUCCCGGUUCUUGGAAGCAUAGAACAUCUAUUUGUCGUGUGCAGUACUAGUUUUGGUGUCAAGCUUCUAUAAAUAAAGGAGGUAAUCCAAAUGGCUUCAAAUGAGAAGUUUUGUGGGAGCUUAUUGAGGCUUUAUAGGUUCUUUAUAGUUAAGCUUAACUCAUGAAGCAUGAUCAGAUGGAGCUACAUGUGUGGAUGCUCUAAUUUUCUCCCAAUGAUUCAGUGUAAUGCGUAUUUCAGAUGCAGAAACUAUUUUAUGUUCUGAUGGCCAUGCUACUAUUACUUGUUACAGUUUCCCUGAUUUCAGAAAUAUCUAAUGUCCUUUGUGUACUUUGUAGUAUCUAUAUAAUAAUUAGAGAUACAUGAUAACUCAGUUCAGUUUAUCUUGUUUGGUUGGGUUACAUAUUUAUAGAUAUAACUAUUGGGACAUUGCGCACCAUAAUUGCAAACCUAUCUAGUACUAAUGUUGUGUACGCUCAAGACAUUCCAUUUCAUAUGCUCAUGGGUGGACCUGCUGCUUGUACAAAUGCUCUGUACUUAUUUCCUAUUCUUGCAACCAACUAGCAUCGUGUCUCUGACUCCAAAUCAUAUAUUUGCUAGCUGCCUGUAGAUUCUGCUGAGAUCGGUGUUAGUCUUUUCGGGCUUGAUUCAUUCAAGCAAACUAUCUAUAGAUAACUAUUUCAUUUAUUUAUUUGUAAGUUUUUUUUGCGGAAGGACAGUAUUCCUGAGCCAGCUAGUAGAGUUGGGAUUAUUAAGUUCAGGUUUUGUAUCCUUGUGUACUGUAUAUAUCUUCUCAAUUUCUCAUCAACUAAUUUAUACUAUGUAUUGGUGAGGUCGGAUUUCAUUUUCUAAAAAAGAAUGCAAUAUUAAGAAUAAAGUUUUAACAAGGAAAAUGGAAAGUAGGAUCGUGCAGCUUCCCCAAUUUCAUUUAUCAUAUAAUUGAUAAAAAAGGUCCAACACUAUGAGGGUUAAUUGCCUAGUGUGGCUACUGCCUUCCCUAACUCUUAACGGUGUGUGUCUGUGCGUGCUGAUAAGGUGGUAGCAAUUGCUAUCGAGGGCUCUGGUUCAGCAGUCUAUGUCUUGUGUGUGCGUGCUUCCUCUCUGAAAUUUAAGACUGAAUUUUCAGGGUACCAAAUAGAGACAAACAACAGGGUAUUAAGUAGAGACAGUGGUAACAAAUAGAGACAAACAACAGGGUACUAAGUAGAGACAACCCGCUGCACUGUGGUAUGUGGCCUUCUAUCAAGAUCUAUUUUGGGUUUAGAUUUUCCCCUAGGUCUCGGAGACAUGAUUUGUGUUACUGUAUUAACAUGUCGACAUGUUCUGUUCAGAGUUCUCUCCCUAGACAUUUAUUUUUCUAUCCUUGCUGUGUCGUGCAGCCUGGUGAAUAUGUAUUCCAGAAAUAAGUUUAAUCUGAACCUAAGAAGAAAAUUACAACAGUAUGGCAGUUCUACAGCUAGAAUACAGAGGUUUAAACCUGCUAUUAAUUUGUGUACUAAGCAUAUGUAUUAAUGAGUCAAUUUAGAGUAGUAGUACUACUAUUAGUUGUGCACCUAGAAGUACUAGUACCAAGGCCACGUGUUAACAAACUGUCUCUCAGUCAGGCACAAACUCAGCUAGCACUUGCCAACAAAGUGACACAAUACAUUUUUUCUUCAACUCCUUUGCUCCAUGCCUAUGUCACCCUCCUCAAUAGUGCUACUGUCAAGUGAUCCUAAAUCUUUUUCGUGAUGUUGUUCCUCUUUUUUUGAUCACUUAACACUUGAAUUGUCCGAUUAUGAUCUCUUGUUUUUGGGAUGCAGGUCUGGUAGUGCUGUAACAGCCGUGCUGUUGCAUGGCACACAAUAGAGCCUGAGAGGCAGCAACGGUGGUAGUGAUGGAGCUGCUCCGCGAUCAACCAGGGGUUAGUUCUCUACUGCCAUUCCUAUGAUUUCUCCGCUAUUUCCAUUCCCUAGCUGAACUGCUAUUGAAAUGCACCUAUUUGGUUGAUCCAGUUCAGAGUUACACAUAUUUCAUGAGGAUGCUAUUUUCAACUAAUUUGCUUGUGCCACAUGGAUCUUGGUGGUUAAAUUUAUGUUCUUAUGCACUCGAAUCAAAGUAUUUACUAUUGUUAGUGACUUGAUAAGUAUUUAAUUUCAUGUUUAAACUUGUUGAGACAUGAACAUUAGAAGCUUACGCCAUCCAGGUCGACGAGCAGUGGCUUCACGUCAUGGGUAUUGUUUAUUAAUGAUGCCAGUUUUUGGCGGAUUUAUAUAUGGCCUCUACUGCUGCUGCUAUAGUACUUGAGUUCUGCGAUGUAUGUUUUAUUUCGUUGUCAAUUAUAGGUCAACUUGAUUAGACUUUCAUUUGACACAUUUCUAUUUGGAUCAAUUUGUAGCACCCUUAUGUUUAUAGUUGUUUUAUAGUAGAUACUUUUUAUUCUCAUUUCUAUGCUAAGAUUUGAGGAUUUUGGAAAGCAUGUAAUUUAUUUAUUUUAGUUUCUUCCAAUUCUCAUGUUUCUACUAUUAAUUCAUGUCUACAAAAUGUCUAAUGUUGUUGUAAAUAUGAUAGGUAUGAUUGGGCAGCGGUCUACUUGGUGCUAUCCAUCACAAUCUGCCAUGGCAUGUAGCCUCCAGUAGGAGGGUCAACGACAACAUGAAUAACAACCUUAGUAGUUUAUAUGGGUUGUUGAUGUAAAUUGCAUUGUACUUGUUCCUAAUCUUGCUGUGACAUAUACAUUGUCAAUAUAUGUUGUAUAUUGUCUUAUUAUGGAGGAUUUUACAAACUGCUAUGUUGCAUAUAUACCUAUGGAUGGCUGCAUAUUGAAUGAUUUGUGUGACGUAUAACAUGUCUUGGGCCAAAAUUGGAAUUAUGAUUUGUGC